UAUGUCACGCCCCGCAUAAAUUCAGCCCAAAAUUUCAGCAUUCUAGACAUUUCCAGGGCCAUCUAGUCGCGUUUGGAGCUGCCCGGAAGGUUCCAGAACAGCCCGUAUUUUUCCAGCAACGUGGGGAUGCUAUUAGGACCAAAAUACAGCCAAGAAGGGUCUAGAAAACGCUGGAGAAAGCUGGUCAAAACAGCCAUAAAAAUCUGCCCAAAGAACUUUCUAGAAUCCAACAUAAUAUCAUGAUAUUUAGUAACAAAUAUCUUAGAUAUUUAGGCAUGAUAUUUUGUAAAGAAUAAUCUAGAACAAGAACAAUCUAGAUAGGCCCCAAUCUAGUAUAAAUAGCUGAUUUGGGGUCUCAUUUGAGACAACCCCAAACACUUGUAAACAUCACACUCUUGUAAGCUUCCUUUGUAUAAUACAAAGCAUUUCUCUUGUAUACUUGUGUUCAAGUAUUACAAGCAACUUCCUUGCGAUCCAACGUUCCCUUUUAGCAACUUUCAUAACCAAAACCCAACGAUACUAACUCGGCUAGGCUUACUUAGACCGUGUACUAAGGCCGCACACGAGUUGAAAGACUAACUCCGUGACAAGUGGUAUCAGAGCGAAGUUUCGAUCCAUCUAAGAUGGCUGAUGAUAAGACUCAACUUAUAACCACGGCUGGUGGAGAAGAGACCCGUGGGAGCGAUGACACUCGCAAAGGAGCAAGAAAGAAUCGAGAUAUGUCCAAGGACUUGGUCGCAAGCUUAGACAAACGUGUGGAAGACGUGGAGACAUCGAUAGCUGAAUUCAAGACACAAGUUGAAGAAUUCAAGGCUGAAGUCGAUAUCUUCCAGACAAACACUAACGAGUCGCUGGAACAAAUAGGUAGCGAGCUCGGCGAGUUAAGAGACGACAUCAAACUUGCUAUGCAAGUCAUGCAAGCUGAAUUAAAAGAGAUGUUUAUGAAGGAGCUGGGGCAGGUACAAAGCAAUAUAGAGAGCAAGUUUGCUGAAAAAUUCAAGGAAUUGCAAAUGGAACUGAACAUUUGCAAACAAGCACUAGCAAACCGAGGCGACGCCAUCAUUACUUCAAAGACUGAAGUCCCAAAGCCAUCUCCGUUUGUUGGAAAACGGGAGGCACGAGCCGUUGACGACUUCAUUUGGGAGAUCGAGCAGUACUUUGAAGCUAUAGACAUCGUUGACGAUGGCAAGAAAAUCAAGACGGUGACCUUAUACUUAAAGGAAACCGCGGCUCUAUGGUGGCGACGGAAGCACAUGGAGAUCGAAAAAGGUAUGUGGACCAUCAACACUUGGGCUGAUUUUGUAAAAGAAAUUAAAAAGCAAUUUUAUCCGGAAAAUGCCGAACACGAUGCAAAGAUUCUGCUACGAAACCUUAGGCAAAGGGGUAGCAUCAAAGAUUAUAUCAAUGAAUUCACUACCCUUGUGCUUGAGAUUCCGGGACUUGUCGCCCAAGGAUGCUCUCAUAUACUUUGUAGAUGGCUUGCAACAAUGGGCCAAAACUGAACUUGAACGAAGAAAUGUUCAAGACUUAUCAUCAGCAAUCUCUGUUGCUGAAAACUUGCACGACCGUAAUGAAAAUCGUUCGACAAGAUCAGCAACUACAGAGACUGGCGAUGCAAAAGGUGGGGGAGCAAAACCCACCAACCAAAAUCAAUACCGGAAGAAUGGUGACCGGGCAUUAACAUUAUAUAACAAAGGAAAAGCCGUAAACAAAGGCUGCUUCCUUUGCGAUGGGCCUCAUGAUGCACGAGACUGCCCAAAGAAAGCCAGACUAACGGCCCUUAUAAGGACCGGCGAUGAUGAACCUGAGGAAACCGAAGAGGUUCUCUUAGGCGCAAUGCAACUUCAAGUUCUUAAUGCAUUAACCCAACUAACGGGAAAACCCUUGGAGAUGGCAAAACAAACUAACCCAACAACCAUCGAGGGCAACACAAAGAGACAAGGUCUUCGCUUUGUGAGCAUAAAAAUAAAAGGAGAAACCCUUAAGGCGUUGGUGGACACCGGUGCCUGCCACAACAUUAUGUCACUAAGCGAAGCAAAAAGACUCGGCUUAAGGAUCACCCCACAAGAAGGUUGGAUUAAAGCCGCUGAUGGAGAACCCAUACUGAUCGAAGGUAUUGCAUGGGGCGUGAAAGCCAAGAUUGGGGAAUGGGCAGGCAAGUUACACUUCUCGAUUGUACCAAUUGACAACUACGACAUCAUACUCGGGUUGGAUUUCUUUGAGAAAGAAAAUGUCUUCCCAGCACCAUUUCUAAAUACACUUUACAUCCUCAAAGGAGAUAAAGUGUACGCCACACCCUUGGAGUCCAACACAAGGAACCGAGGCAAAACGUUAUCCGCAAUACAACUCAUGAAAACACAUGAGGCAUUUGGGCAUCGCAACGAGGCCGUUGCGAAUUUAGGUGGGGGAGGAUGUCACGCCCCGCAUAAAUUCAGCCCAAAAUUUCAACAUUCUAGACAUUUCCAGGGCCAUCUAGUCGCGUUUGGAACUGCCCGGAAGGUUCCAGAACAGCCCGUAUUUUUCCAGCAACGUGGGGAUGCUAUGAGGACCAAAAUACAGCCAAGAAGGGUCUAGAAAACGCUGGAGAAAGCUGGUCAAAACAGCCAUAAAAAUAUGCCCAAAGAACUUUCUAGAAUCCAACAUAAUAUCAUGAUAUUUAGUAACAAAUAUCUUAGAUAUUUAGGCAUGAUAUUUUGUAAAGAAUAAUCUAGAACAAGAACAAUCUAGAUAGGCCCCAAUGUAGUAUAAAUAGCUGAUUUGGGGUCUCAUUUGAGACACCCCCAAACACUUGUAAACAUCACACUCUUGUAAGCUUCCUUUGUAUAAUACAAAUCAUUUCUCUUGUAUACUUGUGUUCAAGUAUUACAAGCAACUUCCUUGCGAUCCAACGUUCCCUUUUAGCAACUUUCAUAACCAAAACCAAACGAUACUAACUCGGCUAGGCUUACUUAGACCGUGUUCUAAGGCCGCACGCGAGUUGAAAGACUAACUCCGUGACAAUUAGGUAACCAGUUGCUACUACAAACUUCACCAUAUUUACAUUAAAAACCCAUUUAGACACUCCUCUAUAUAAAAUACAGACAUGGAAUUGAACCGUCAAGCUGCCACGAUUGAACCCCGUCAAGCGCACCGCAGUCGAACCCCGCACCAGCAGUAUAAGAAUUCAAAGGCAAACCCAUAUAUGAAGACUUCAUUUGCAAACCAUACUUGCACGCCUUGAAAUGGCACUUAUUUGCAAACCAUACUUGUGCGGGUCAACCUUCCACCUGGUGCAGUCACAUAACCCAUGGCUCUUACAUCGCUUGGAUCCAAUGGUGUUACUUGGUUAGAAACAGACCUUUUAACCGUUGGCUUGGGUUUUCUCAUGCUUUCAAUGGGACUUACGCUAACAUUUGAGGAUUUCAGACGUCGUUUAAGGAGUCCAUGGACUGUUGGCGUAGGGUUUCUUGCUCAGUACUUGAUCAAACCUUUGUUGGGAUUCUUCAUUGCAAUGACUCUAAAUGUUGCAACUUAUAUAUCGAAAGGAAAUGUAGCACUUUCUGUUCUCAUGACAACAUGUUCGAUUAUUGGAGCUAUUAUCAUGACACCACUAUUGACUAAACUUCUAGCUGGUAUUUUGGUUCUGUUACGCGGUUUCUUUUGUGGCAUUUGCUAUUAUUGUUGGUUUUGUUUGCGGUUUCGAACUAGUUAGCGUUUGUGUACUUUUAUAUAUAUAUCAAUGGUUUGGUAUGUAUUUGGAAUACUGAAAAUAGCAGUAAAACUGGGAAUAGCAAUACAAUGGAUUUUUUUUACUGUUUUUGACUUUUAGUGGCGACAAAUAUCGUCGCUAAAGAUCAAUAUGUCGCCACUAAAAGUGGACAACCUGUAGCGGCGACUUCUUUAGUGGCGACAAGUGGCACUUUUAGCGGCGACAAUUGUCGUCGCUAAAACUCAGUUUUCCUGUAGUGGGUACAGAUUGUUCAAGCUCCCGAGAGCCUCAAACUUCUUAUCAGCAAGUUUCCCCAAGAGCCUCACAAUUGUUCCUAAUGGCAAUGUCAUGAAGCUAAACAGAAUGUCAACAAAAGUCUAAUCAGCUUCAGCAUACACCCCUCUCUUAUUCACUUUGUCUAUGAUCACUUUUACCGAGAUUUUAGCUUCGUUUGUUUUAGUGUCGGCCAUAGCUUCAGAACCCUAACCAAGAAUAUCUAUAAAACACUGUGUAUGUGUUGGAUACUAGCAUUUUCUGG
RNA transcript from Helianthus annuus (common sunflower), 4226 nucleotides. It is a transcript of the gene named sodium/pyruvate cotransporter BASS2, chloroplastic-like, with no coding region annotated. The record is from RefSeq and is a predicted model, not a curated record. The transcript has 6 exons. Lineage: Eukaryota; Viridiplantae; Streptophyta; Magnoliopsida; Asterales; Asteraceae.